UAUACAUUGACCAUUUUCUGUUGAAACAAGCUGACAAUAACAGAAGCUCAAUAAACUUUGGUCAUGGUCAUCCAAAAUCUCCAGAACAAUACAAGAGCCUCCACAAUCGUGUUGUGUAUUCCAAGGACAUUGUGCAGAAAACAUAUUUUGCAGUCUUGCAAGAUGAGGUAAACCCCACCAUAAUGGAAAGAGGGGAAGGAAGGCAUUUCUCUUCACUCAAGAAAAUUUCUCAUAUAUCCAGAAAUUGCUUAGAGGGGAACAGAACUCCUGGUCGCAUCUAGGAACUUUCUCCACUCUUCUCAUUGUCCGGAUCAUAAGGCACCUCAUGCCGAGGCUUGUUGUACUUCUCUCGCAGCUGCUUGAUUGGUAUGAAAUCUCCGGCAGCAUCCAUCCCAAAAAAUAAGAAUGAGGUGUAGGGAUGAUCAAAUCGAUCCUUAUCUGGUUCGCUAGGCGCCACUAGACUUUCCUCAGGUACAUAUGCCACUAACAGAUUGGGAUCUGUAUGUACAUCCACCAGCACCUGAUAAAAGGGCUGAUCAGGACCACGAGUCAACUUUUCUACUUGAGCAUUUUCCAUCCAUGAAUUCGAUUCACAACAUAUUGG
RNAcentral lists this unclassified non-coding RNA (604 nucleotides) under Hevea brasiliensis (rubber tree). The record is from RNAcentral. Lineage: Eukaryota; Viridiplantae; Streptophyta; Magnoliopsida; Malpighiales; Euphorbiaceae.